Molecule: long non-coding RNA, 1446 nt
Filed under: Sus scrofa (pig)
Lineage: Eukaryota; Metazoa; Chordata; Mammalia; Artiodactyla; Suidae
Description: lncRNA (ENSSSCG00035067809.1)
Source: RNAcentral
GGAAAGUUCCUGGGCCAAGAAUGGAACUCUAGUCACAGUAGGGACAAUGCCAGGUCCUUAACCCACUGAGCCACCAGUGAACUCCAAAUCUGCUACUUUGAAAAAGAACUAUUAAUACAUAUAACAUGGAUGACCCUCGAAAUAAUUAUUCCGAAUAAAGGAAGCCAAAAAAAGAGUACAUUCUGUAGAAUCCCAUGUAUGUAAAAUGCAAAAAAUCCAGGUAAUACACAUUAUGGAAAGCAGAUCACUGGCGGUCUUAUUGCAGGAGGGAGCAAUGGAUUAUCAAAGGGCUUGAGGAAAGCUUCGGAGUGAGAAAUAACUUCACGAUCUGGAUUUUGGUGAUGGUUUCAUGACUCUAUACACAUGUUCAAAUUCAUCAAAGUCUAUGACUUAAAUAUAGGCAGUUGUACAUCACUUAACUUCAAUAAGAUGGCAACAAAAGGAUCUGCUAAAAGCCACAUCUGUAUAUGAUCACAGAAUCUCUAUGUGUAGACAGACAUACAUGAAGGACCAGAAAGGUACCUGAUAGACAUACAUCACAACAGGGGUUACCAGGGGGGAAGGGGGAGGAGGGGCCCUGAAAAGGGAGUAUCCCUUUUACACUAUAUGCUCCUACAUUUGUUCCAUUUUGUAUGAGAUGAUCUAUAUGGAAUUUCAACAAAAGCUCAGAACAUCAUUUUUCAUUUCAGAAUAGCUAAAUAAACAUUCAACAGCAAUAACAACACCAACUCCCAAAAUAAAAUGCCCCUGUUUGAUAGGGAGGAUCUUAAGCCGGUAGAGGCAUGGACUCUGCAAAGCAGAAGCAACCUGGACGAGGGAGCAUCACGAUGACUAUUUUGAGGGCCAAGAAGAGGGGCAGUGGGGGUGUGAGGCACCCAGUCCUGGGGAGACCUGCUCUGCCCUGACUUGGGGACAUAGGGGUCAAGGACAGACAAAUCAGAGCCAACCCAGGGCCGUUCUUCUGCCUCACAGGGAAGCGGGGCCAGCCCCUCGCUCUUGAGGGCAGCUUUCCUGUCACUGCAGUGAGGGAUGCCCUGUGAGCAUGCUCCUGCCCUGAGAGUCUGGGAUUCUUUGUCUCUACAUGCAGUUCCCUCCCCAGUUACAACCUGAAGACUUCGCAUUUUUCUUUUCACUUUUUCAUUUUAGGCUGCACUUUUGACAUAUGGAAGUCGUCGGGCUAGAGGUUACAUCGGAGAUGUACCUGCCAGCCUACAACAAGUCAUAGUAACACUGGAAACAAGUAGCAUCUGUAACCCACACCACAGCUCAUGGCAAUGCCAGAUCCUUAACCCACUGAUGAGGCCAGGGACCGAACUCGCAUCCUCAUGGAUAUUAGUUGGGUGGUCCAUUACUGCUGAACCACAAUGGGAACUCCAGACUUCUCAUUCUGAAGGUCCCUGGGACAGCUGAGCCAAGACCUCCCACUCUCCUGGAAAGCUACUCUGC